AAUACCAUUUUUUUGUUCAAAAAAAAAAAAAAAAAAAAAAAAUAUUUUCACAUAUUUCAAAGGAGCGGAUUCGGAAAUGGAUUUAUAUUUAACCGAUGAUGAUAAUGGCCGUAUUAAACCAACGACAGUAUUGUAUAGAAUUUCCAUACUUUUGUUUGGUAUUUUUAUUUUUGCAGUAAUUCACUUCUGAUGAAUGAAUGUUUGAAUGAAUGAAUGAAUG
Dermatophagoides farinae (American house dust mite) is the source of this 220-nucleotide non-coding RNA. Lineage: Eukaryota; Metazoa; Arthropoda; Arachnida; Sarcoptiformes; Pyroglyphidae. The record is from RefSeq and is a predicted model, not a curated record.